GUGCCAGCAGCCGCGGUAAUACGUAGGUCCCGAGCGUUGUCCGGAUUUAUUGGGCGUAAAGCGAGCGCAGGCGGUUAGAUAAGUCUGAAGUUAAAGGCUGUGGCUUAACCAUAGUACGCUUUGGAAACUGUUUAACUUGAGUGCAAGAGGGGAGAGUGGAAUUCCAUGUGUAGCGGUGAAAUGCGUAGAUAUAUGGAGGAACACCGGUGGCGAAAGCGGCUCUCUGGCUUGUAACUGACGCUGAGGCUCGAAAGCGUGGGGAGCAAA
Molecule: ribosomal RNA, 267 nt
Filed under: uncultured Streptococcaceae bacterium
Lineage: Bacteria; Bacillati; Bacillota; Bacilli; Lactobacillales; Streptococcaceae
Description: partial 16S ribosomal RNA
Rfam family: Bacterial small subunit ribosomal RNA
Source: RNAcentral